Centruroides sculpturatus (bark scorpion) is the source of this 689-nucleotide long non-coding RNA. RefSeq lists it as uncharacterized. NCBI's taxonomy places the organism in Eukaryota, Metazoa, Arthropoda, Arachnida, Scorpiones, Buthidae. The transcript is spliced from 4 exons. The record is from RefSeq and is a predicted model, not a curated record.
UUUGAUGAUACAGCAACCACGUCCUCUACAUUAAGAAAAAUAUGACAUCUUUAAUUUUGUUAGAAUAAAUAUAUAAUUCUAAUAAACAAAUUUAUAUUUUAGAUUUGUAUGCUGUCACUACAUUAGGUGUGAUGAUAAUGAAAGUUCCCCACACUAUAUUCAUUUGAAAGGUAGCAGUUAACUUCAAGAUUUCAGCUAACUGAAGGUUAUAGAAUUGCUCUUUAAGAAAAUGUUUGGAUUGAGGAUGGAAAAACAGGAGCAGCAGUACUCUCUCCCAUCCAUGACACCCAUGGCAUCUCCCUCUGACAGCUUUGCUACUAUAAAUAAUCUUUGUUUACUUAAUAAGUCUUUAUUUUGAAAUAUCUGGAAAUCGAACAGCUUGCAAUAGCACUUUUGGGAGUGUGACCAAAUUGUUAGGAUGCUUAAAAAUAAUGCGUCUGGAGAGAAAGAAGGACACAGGUUGAGAAAAAGAUAAAUUAUGUGGACAACAAUAAGUCACUCUCUCAGCCAUGUCAAGACAGCACAAAAAAAAAAGAAUGCUGUUGGACAAGUGACAAACAAAAUGUAUUUUAAUCUCUUUGAGUAUUGUUGCCAAUACUUGAAGAUUGGAAAUAUAACAGAAUCUGAUAGCUAAAUUUCAAGAUAAAAAUGUGUAAUUGAAUAAAAAUUGAGAAAGAAGUCUUUAGGUG